This 424-nucleotide unclassified non-coding RNA is filed under the name soil metagenome. RNAcentral describes it as "partial contains 5.8S ribosomal RNA, internal transcribed spacer 2, and large subunit ribosomal RNA". The stretch from base 1 to 120 matches the Rfam family "5.8S ribosomal RNA", at positions 35 to 154 of the family's 154-position model. The record is from RNAcentral.
GAUGAAGAACAUAGCGAAAUGCGAUACGUAAUGUGAAUUGCAGAAUUCAGUGAAUCAUCGAAUCUUUGAACGCAUAUUGCGCUCUCUGGUAUUCCGGAGAGCAUGCUUGUUUGAGUAUCAGUAAACACCUCAACUCCCUUUCUUCUUGAAAUGGAGCUGGACUUGAGUGAUCCCAACGCUUUAUUCAUAAAGUGGCGGGUUACUUGAAAUGCAGGUGCAGCUGGACUUUUCUCUGAGCUAUAAGCAUAUCUAUUUAGUCUGCCUCAAAACAGAUUAUUACCUUUGCUGCAGCUAACAUAAAGGAGAUUAGUUCUUGUGCUGACUGAUGCAGGAUUCACAAAGACCGCUUCGGCUGUCUUUGUAAACUCGAUCUCAAAUCAAGUAAGACUACCCGCUGAACUUAAGCAUAUCAAUAAGCGGAGGA